Molecule: ribosomal RNA, 19 nt
Filed under: Silene sedoides
Lineage: Eukaryota; Viridiplantae; Streptophyta; Magnoliopsida; Caryophyllales; Caryophyllaceae
Also listed under: 4 other names
Description: partial 28S ribosomal RNA
Source: RNAcentral
CCCAGGUCAGGCGGGGCUA